AAAUUGAAGAGUUUGAUCAUGGCUCAGAUUGAACGCUGGCGGCAGGCCUAACACAUGCAAGUCGAACGGUAACAGGAAGCAGCUUGCUGCUUUGCUGACGAGUGGCGGACGGGUGAGUAAUGUCUGGGAAACUGCCUGAUGGAGGGGGAUAACUACUGGAAACGGUAGCUAAUACCGCAUAAUGUCGCAAGACCAAAGAGGGGGACCUUCGGGCCUCUUGCCAUCGGAUGUGCCCAGAUGGGAUUAGCUAGUAGGUGGGGUAAAGGCUCACCUAGGCGACGAUCCCUAGCUGGUCUGAGAGGAUGACCAGCCACACUGGAACUGAGACACGGUCCAGACUCCUACGGGAGGCAGCAGUGGGGAAU
RNAcentral lists this ribosomal RNA (365 nucleotides) under Escherichia coli. RNAcentral's name for it is "bacterial SSU rRNA". It matches the Rfam family "Bacterial small subunit ribosomal RNA", at positions 1 to 362 of the family's 1533-position model. Lineage: Bacteria; Pseudomonadati; Pseudomonadota; Gammaproteobacteria; Enterobacterales; Enterobacteriaceae. The record is from RNAcentral.